This 551-nucleotide ribosomal RNA is filed under the name uncultured bacterium. Its description in RNAcentral is "bacterial SSU rRNA". It matches the Rfam family "Bacterial small subunit ribosomal RNA", at positions 925 to 1480 of the family's 1533-position model. The record is from RNAcentral.
ACAAGCGGUGGAUGAUGUGGUUUAAUUCGAUGCAACGCGAAAAACCUUACCUACCCUUGACAUGUCAAGAAUUCUGCAGAGAUGUGGAAGUGCUCGAAAGAGAACUUGAACACAGGUGCUGCAUGGCCGUCGUCAGCUCGUGUCGUGAGAUGUUGGGUUAAGUCCCGCAACGAGCGCAACCCUUGUCAUUAGUUGCUACGCAAGAGCACUCUAAUGAGACUGCCGGUGACAAACCGGAGGAAGGUGGGGAUGACGUCAGGUCCUCAUGGCCCUUAUGGGUAGGGCUACACACGUCAUACAAUGGCCGGUACAGAGGGCUGCCAACCCGCGAGGGGGAGCCAAUCCCAGAAAACCGGUCGUAGUCCGGAUCGUAGUCUGCAACUCGACUGCGUGAAGUCGGAAUCGCUAGUAAUCGCGGAUCAGCUUGCCGCGGUGAAUACGUUCCCGGGUCUUGUACACACCGCCCGUCACACCAUGGGAGCGGGUUCUGCCAGAAGUAGUUAGCCUAACCGUAAGGAGGGCGAUUACCACGGCAGGGUUCGUGACUGGGG